ACAGCAGCCGCCGCGGUAAUACGAAGGGUGCAAGCGUUACUCGGAACUACUGGGCGUAAAGCGUGCGUAGGUGGUGGUUUAAGUCCGUUGUGAAAGCCCUGGGCUCAACCUGGGAAUUGCAGUGGAUACUGGAUCACUAGAGUGUGGUAGAGGAUAGUGGAAUUUCCGGUGUAGCAGUGAAAUGCGUAGAGAUCGGAAGGAACAUCUGUGGCGAAGGCGACUAUCUGGGACAACACUGACGCUGAGGCACGAAAGCGUGGGGAGCAAACAGGAUUAGAUACCCCGGUAGUCCCUGUCUCUUAUAC
This 305-nucleotide ribosomal RNA is filed under the name uncultured bacterium. RNAcentral describes it as "partial 16S ribosomal RNA". It matches the Rfam family "Bacterial small subunit ribosomal RNA", at positions 508 to 807 of the family's 1533-position model. The record is from RNAcentral.